This is a long non-coding RNA of Bufo bufo (common toad), 141 nucleotides long. RefSeq lists it as uncharacterized. The record is from RefSeq and is a predicted model, not a curated record. Lineage: Eukaryota; Metazoa; Chordata; Amphibia; Anura; Bufonidae. The transcript is spliced from 3 exons.
ACUUUUUUGGAAUCUGGCAUGUACUGUAUAUUAGAUUGUAAGCUCUGAGGAGCAGGUUGUCUCUUUCUUUCCAGGGUCAGCUCUCCGGAGCUUUAUAUUACAUACAUAUAUACAGCAAUAUGCAGCAGGACAGAUGUAAUC